GCCGUCGUGGUGUAACUGGAAACAUGUCUGGCUAGCAACCAGGAGGUCAAGAGUUCGAAUCUCAGCAAGGGCG
RNAcentral lists this transfer RNA (73 nucleotides) under Stegodyphus mimosarum. It matches the Rfam family "tRNA". From Rfam's summary of the family: Transfer RNA (tRNA) molecules are approximately 80 nucleotides in length. Their secondary structure includes four short double-helical elements and three loops (D, anti-codon, and T loops). Further hydrogen bonds mediate the characteristic L-shaped molecular structure. tRNAs have two regions of fundamental functional importance: the anti-codon, which is responsible for specific mRNA codon recognition, and the 3' end, to which the tRNAs corresponding amino acid is attached (by aminoacyl-tRNA synthetases). tRNAs cope with the degeneracy of the genetic code in two manners: having more than one tRNA (with a specific anti-codon) for a particular amino acid; and 'wobble' base-pairing, i.e. permitting non-standard base-pairing at the 3rd anti-codon position. The record is from Rfam by way of RNAcentral. Lineage: Eukaryota; Metazoa; Arthropoda; Arachnida; Araneae; Eresidae.